RNAcentral lists this non-coding RNA (253 nucleotides) under uncultured bacterium. RNAcentral's name for it is "partial 16S ribosomal RNA". It matches the Rfam family "Bacterial small subunit ribosomal RNA", at positions 524 to 776 of the family's 1533-position model. The record is from RNAcentral. RNAcentral also lists the same sequence under 1 other name.
UACGAAGGAUGCAAGCGUUAUCCGGAUUCAUUGGGUUUAAAGGGAGCGUAGGUGGCCUUAUAAGUCAGUGGUGAAAUCUCUGGGCUUAACCCAGAAAUUGCCAUUGAUACUGUAGGGCUUGAGUAUAGUUGCCGUUGGCGGAAUAUGACAUGUAGUGGUGAAAUACAUAGAGAUGUCAUAGAACACCGAUUGCGAAGGCAGCUGACGAAACUAUAACUGACACUGAGGCUCGAAAGUGCGGGGAUCAAACAGG